AUGAAUGUGUCUUUUGUCCAGCUCGGCCGCCUCGGAUCUCACUGCCACCGGCCUUCACGCACACCCUCGCCACCAGCCUUUGCCCCGUCAGCCUCAGCCCCAGCUCAUUCUCUCAGGCAGUCCCAGCAUUGGCAUGGUACCUCCUCCCGCCGUGGGCCUCACGUCUCUGCUCCCUGUCAACCCUACUGCCAUCAGCAUCACCACAAGCGACUUGUCUGCCCAGGAGGAUGCAACACCAUCUACCUCUACCGGCCACCUUUCAGUGUUUUCUGCUUUCCAAGUAAAGACACCAGCAGUGCCCUCAGAGCGGACCAGCCAGAGAUUUUCCGAAGCCUCCCAUAUAGGCUCCUCCGUGGAGGAGGCCUGAGAUGCUGUCAUGACUUUGGAGCCAGGGUGGCCGACCACCUUGGCCUGGCCAUCUUUGGGGUGGGCUUUGGGAGCCCAGCACUGCUGCCGAGUGUGGUGGAUGAGAACGGCUGCUGCUUGCUGUACGUGGUGGAGCUGUGUGGCGUGGAGCGAGCCUUCAGAGCUGAGCAUUUGACCAACACCAGAGUGGUUCGGGAACAGGAUGCGGACAUUGUCCUCAACGACCAGCGGUACGGUUUCAGUUGUCAGCAGAGGUUCACUGAACACCUGCUGUGUGCCGGGCACCGUCCUGGGGGCUGGAGAAAUGGCUCUGAAUGCUGCAAAGCCCCCAUCCUUGUGCUGCUGAAUUGGGUGCAGAGGCAGCUGAGUAGAUCUCAAUACAUCAGUAGCAAUAAACUCUGUGGAGAGAACUCACGCCGUCGGGAGAGGGAGGCUGGUGGGAGCGCUGUUUUAGGGAAGGGGGUGCUUUGCGAGAGGCUGCCGAGUUUGAAUUGUCAGGCUGCCCAGUCCUGCUUCGACGAAGCCGACGGACGUGGAAAGCCUUUGGUCUGUGGAUUUUACAACUCGGUGAUGUGGGCGCCUUGGAGAACUCCUGAGCAGUUCCAUCGUCUGCAAACUGCAGAUUAUAUGGGUGACAUUACUGGCCACUGAACGGAGUCUGGGUGGCCCCUGGUUGCUGGCACCUUAUUGGGUUGGCAUCUGUUGGUGAGUAAGGCCGCGUGGCCUUUGCCGCAUGGAGCUUACCGUCUGGAGAGGAGGACAGAUGAGAAACAAGUAAAUAGAUAGGUCAUUGUGGCA
Molecule: long non-coding RNA, 1164 nt
Filed under: Papio anubis (olive baboon)
Lineage: Eukaryota; Metazoa; Chordata; Mammalia; Primates; Cercopithecidae
Description: lncRNA (ENSPANG00000040359.1)
Source: RNAcentral